This is a non-coding RNA of Acyrthosiphon pisum (pea aphid), 45 nucleotides long. Lineage: Eukaryota; Metazoa; Arthropoda; Insecta; Hemiptera; Aphididae. The record is from Rfam.
AAAAAGGCUUUUAUCAAAGCCAACAGCAACAUAAUGACAGGUUAG